CGUCCGUUAGUCACGCAUCGCUCCUGAUCCGUGGACCAGCACGUCUCCAAUAGUCUGAGCCACGGUCCGGAAUUGGUACAAACGAUUCUCGGUGGGUCAGGAAGGCUUGCGGCCCAGAGGAGGUUGGCGAAACCUCGGUCCCCUGAUAUCUGCGACGGCGGGUGCUACUUCCGGCGGCCCGGCGAUGGAAGAUGCGGCGCUGGAGUUCCUUAUGGAUCCCAUCAACCGGUUUCCAUUUAGGGAGGAAUUUGCGGCAACCUUGAGCAUCCAGAUCCGGUUAGUCCUGCUGCCAUGCUGUGAUGCCCAUCCUGCUAUGCCGGCGGAUUCCAAUGGCAGGUCUGGUUGCGCACAAGAUGAGGGUCCGCGGCCCCGUUAGGCUGGCAGGCGAACUACGACGAGGAAACAAUGCUUCUCCAAAUAGGUUGUGGCUGGGGAGUGCUCCAUUGGACAUAACUCCGUGCACAUCGAAGAUGAGUUUGUUGGAGCAAUCUAUUUGCAAAUAUGCGGAGAAGCCUAUGAAGAGUUUAAUAAAAUCGGAGUUAGGAUUGACUUUCAACUCACUCGGGGAGGCCUACGACUUCUACAGGUCGUACUUGUGGGAGGUUUGGCUUUGGGAUCAGGUAUGGUAAGAGCAGAUUGAAUGCCGACAAGGUGCAGAAAAUAAUCUAUGGCUGCUCGGGGAAGCCAGAAGCAAGAACAAUCGGUCUUGUAGGUGCGAUUGCCCCGCAUUGAUAAGCCUGUUGCGGGCGUCCGACAAUAGCUGUUACUCCCUCCGUUCCAUAAUAUAAGAACAUUUUUGAUACUACAUUAGUGUAAAAAACACUCUUAUAUUAUGGGACCGAGGGAGUAUAUAACUGAGCAUCGUGAGAACAACAAUCAUUCUAUGUCGCGGACAAUGGGGGAGAAGGUCCGCUGGCCAUAGGUAGCGUUUAUGAAGAGGACUUUGAGGAACAUAUGUGGCUAGAUAAGUCAUGAGCAGACAGACGAUGAUGUGAGGAAAACUUUGGAGGGUUUUGCUGACAUUGUUGCAAGUGACCUGGACUUUUUGUCGAUAGCGAGAGCAGGGUCAAGAAGCUGAUGUGGACCAAUGGAAGCAGUUGGAUGCAAUACUGGUUCUUUGAAGAUGUCACUUUCGACAAUGACAUGCAAUUCGUGCUUUUUGUUGGGGUGAACAACCGUUUUCAGAGCAUUAUUUUGGCUGGUGUAUUGAUGAGGCACGAGCAGCUGAAGAGUUUCGACCGGGGAGUUUCUAAGGAUGAUAGGAGGAACCGACCCGAAAACUAUCGUCACAGGUUUGGCAGUGUAUUUAAUUUGCAGUUCACAAUCAGAAUAUUUGAACAUGCUCACUCAUGUUAUCUCACUGUGUGCAGACCAGAACAAAAUGUUUGCUGUCUUUUUAAUUUUUAUUAAAAGAAGCUGAUGUAUGCUGGUAGUGACAGAGUCAUGUUGUGAGGAGAACCAAUCUGGCAAUAGAGUGUCACACAAGCAUGAGCUAUGAUCGAGCAGUUCGGGUGAAUCCUAAUUGAAGGUACUGCAUACAAUGUUACGGAGGUUGAGAAGAUGAAGAAGUAUGUGACAAUGGACAACAAUGCGGCGAAACAUGAGAAGUUUAGUAGAGUUGUUUAAGAGGUAAAAAUCAAGGGUGACGGUACUGAAUUCGUGUGCGAGUGCAGUCAGUUGAAGCAUACAAGGAUGCUUUCCUGCCAUGUCCUAAGGGUAAUAUAUAUGCCUUCAAUUGGCUGUGGUUUGCAUACAGUGCAAGUAUGUUUGUUCGAUUAUAGUUUGAUAUAUGUUCAGAUAGUUGGUAUACCAUCUUUGACGCAUGCAUAAGUCUUUCACAUGCAGGCAUUCGACUCUAUACGUGCAUGCUAUGCUAGCUCUGAAGGGUUAAGAGCACAACUCUAAUGAUUAAAGCUAGCGCUGAAGCGUUCAAGCACAUGUCAGCUGGCCUUAAAGCUCCAAUGGUGAGCUGUGAACCAUUGGCAGAGAAGAGGGAUGGUCUGGGAUUUGAAGACCAUCAGGUUGCGAUCACUGCAGACAGGUUAACUAGGAAUGGCGACCUUGCAGUCCUAUCAAAUGGUGGUGCAACCCAGGAAGAUAAUUUGGGUGGUUCUGUGAGUGUGAAUGCACUUCAAGGCGAGCACCUCCGGAGAACCAAAGGGGUGUUGGCAGGCCGACAAAUAGCCGUGAGAAAGCACCAUAUCACUCUCUCAGCAAGCGUACUAGGUUUUGUAGCAUAUUCGUCGUGAAAAGCCCCGCAAGCCUGACAAAUGCAAGAACUGUGGUAUGGAGGGGCACCGUUGAAACACGUGUACAUGACCACUUGGUGGUGGGCAGACUUAGAAGUGAGGAUUUAAUUUGCCUGUAUAACUUGUAAUUUGAGGAUUUUCUGGUGUGUACUGCGAGCCAUGCUUAACGCUUGUUCCCCCAGUGCUUAUAGUGUGUACCAUUGUAAGAUUGUAACAUUGAGUGAUAGUGGUCGAAGUCUUUUGUAGUACUUUAUGCUAACUUGCCAGAUCUUAAGAUUUUUAA
Molecule: long non-coding RNA, 2532 nt
Organism: Triticum aestivum (bread wheat)
Lineage: Eukaryota; Viridiplantae; Streptophyta; Magnoliopsida; Poales; Poaceae
Exons: 4
Source: RefSeq, a predicted model, not a curated record